GCAUCGAUGAAGAACGCAGCGAAAUGCGAUAAGUAAUGUGAAUUGCAGAAUUCAGUGAAUCAUCGAAUCUUUGAACGCACAUUGCGCCCGUCAGUAUUCUGGCGGGCAUGCCUGUUCGAGCGUCAUUACGCCCCUCAAGUCCCCUGUGGACUUGGUGUUGGGGAUCGGCGAGGCUGGUUUUCCAGCACAGCCGUCCCUUAAAUUGAUUGGCGGUCUCGCCGUGGCCCUCCUCUGCGCAGUAGUAAAACACUCGCAACAGGAGCCCGGCGCGGUCCACUGCCGUAAAACCCCCCAACUUUUUAUAGUUGACCUCGAAUCAGGUAGGACUACCCGCUGAACUUAAGCAUAUCAAUAAGCGGAGGAA
This 364-nucleotide ribosomal RNA is filed under the name Metarhizium anisopliae. RNAcentral describes it as "eukaryotic LSU rRNA". The stretch from base 1 to 125 matches the Rfam family "5.8S ribosomal RNA", at positions 30 to 154 of the family's 154-position model. Lineage: Eukaryota; Fungi; Ascomycota; Sordariomycetes; Hypocreales; Clavicipitaceae. The record is from RNAcentral.